RNAcentral lists this small RNA (593 nucleotides) under Pongo abelii (Sumatran orangutan). RNAcentral's name for it is "processed transcript". The record is from RNAcentral. Lineage: Eukaryota; Metazoa; Chordata; Mammalia; Primates; Hominidae.
AGCAAUUAGUGCUGCUCUAGGGAGCAGUGGUGAAGAUUACGUCUUUGUCACGCCAGUAGAAGUAGACUCAGCCGGGUCAUAUAUUUCACACGACAUUUUGCACAACGGCAGGAAAAAGCGAUCGGCGCAGAAUGCCAGAAACUCCCUGCACUACCGAUUUUCAGCAUUUGGACAGGAACUGCACUUAGAACUUAAGCCCUCGGCGAUUUUGAGCAGUCACUUUAUUGUCCAGGUACUUGGAAAAGAUGGUGCUUCAGAGACUCAGAAACCCGAGGUGCAGCAAUGCUUCUACCAGGGAUUUAUCAGAAAUGACAGCUCCUCCUCUGUCGCUGUGUCUACGUGUGCUGGCUUGUCAGGUUUAAUCAGGACACGAAAAAAUGAAUUCCUCAUCUCGCCGUUACCUCAACUCCUGGCCCAGGAACACAACUACAGCUCCCCUGCGGGUCACCAUCCUCACGUACUAUACAAAAGGACAGCAGAGGAGAAGGUCCAGGGGUACCGUGGCUACCCCGGCUCCGGCCGGAAUUAUCCUGGUUACUCCCCAAGUCACAUUCCCCAUGCGUCUCAGAGUCAAGAGACAGAGUAUCACCAUC